GUUUACCCUGUAGGUAUCCUCUCAGUUUACCCUGUAGGUAUCCUCUCAGUUUACCCUGUAGGUAUCGGUCAGUGUACCCUGUAGGUAUCGGUCAGUGUACCCUGUAGGUAUCGGUCAGUGUACCCUGUAGGUAUCGGUCAGUGUACCCUGUAGGUAUCGGUCAGUUUACCCUGUAGGUAUCGGUCAGUUUACCCUGUAGGUAUCGGUCAGUUUACCCUGUAGGUAUCGGUCAGUUUACCCUGUAGGUAUCAGUCAGUUUACCCUGUAGGUAUCGGUCAGUGUACCCUGUAGGUAUCGGUCAGUGUACCCUGUAGGUAUCGGUCAGUGUACCCUGUAGGUAUCGGUCAGUUUACCCUGUAGGUAUCGGUCAGUGUACCCUGUAGGUAUCCUCUCAGUUUACCCUGUAGGUAUCGGUCAGUGUACCCUGUAGGUAUCGGUCAGUUUACCCUGUAGGUAUCCUCUCAGUGUACCCUGUAGGUAUCGGUCAGUGUACCCUGUAGGUAUCCUCUCAGUUUACCCUAUUUGAAAGCUGAGUUGGAUUAGAGCUACGGCUUUAUGCUACUGGAGUUGAGUUGGAUUAGAGCUACGGCCUUAUGCUACUGGAGUUGAGUUGGAUUAGAGCUACGGCGUUAUGCUACUGGAGUUGAGUUGGAUUAGAGCUACGGCGUUAUGCUACUGGAUUUGAGUUGGAUUAGAGCUACGGCGUUAUGCUACUGGAGUUGCAUUGUACGGGACUUAAUGUGCGUGCAUGGUGUGAAUAUCGGGUUACCAAUCCAAUGCUCUAAACCUGAUAUUUGAAAAUAAGACAUUUUAGAAAUGAAUUGAAAUGAUUAAGUAUAGAGUACGUUGAAGUUUCUACUUUAUCCAUAUUUAUAACAUAUUUUUUAUCUCCUGAAAUUCCACACCAUUGAUUUAAUGUGUCUUACUGUUAAAGGUGUUGAAAGAUAUACAGUACAGACUAACCACAUGUGUUUUCCGUUUUUAGUUCUCUCUCUGAAAUACAACAGAACCUGAUGUCCCACCAUUCAUGUGACAUGUAUGGUAGGUUACUGUAAAUGUGACAAUGUGACAUGUCUGGUAGGUUACUGUAAAUGUGACAUGUCUGGUAGGUUACUGUAAAUGUGACAUGUCUGGUAGGUUACUGUAAAUGUGACAUGUCUGGUAGGUUACUGUAAAUGUGACAUGUCUGGUAGGUUACUGUAAAUGUGACAUGUCUGGUAGGUUACUGUAAAUGUGACAUGUCUGGUAGGUUACUGUAAAUGUGACAUGUCUGGUAGGUUACUGUAAAUGUGACAUGUCUGGUAGGUUACUGUAAAUGGCAGGGUUCAAACCGUGUAUUACAAUACCCACAGCUCUUACAUUCUGAAGCACAACUCUAGUUUCAGAACGCUGGUUGUAAAUAUUGUCUCGUGUUACUGUACAUUUGAAUUAGGCUGACUUGAUCGUCUUUCCAUUGGUUUAAUGUCAAUUUAAAACUGUCAUUUUGAAUUGUAUGACUGCAAGGUAUGUUUAGAUUUGUUUUGUGUACGUAAGAUCAUUAACACAUAUUGUCGUGCAGCACGAUAUACACUUGGAGAAUUUGUACAUUACAGGGCUAUUUUAACGGCAAUGGUUGAAAAAAUAUGACGUUGCUCAGAAUAUCACUCUAAUCUUGGGUUUUAUGCGGUUGAUUUAUUAAAAUAAAUGAUAUUCUGUUGCUGUAAAGGAACUGAUCUGCUGUUGAAUAUCUUCUGAUAAUGGUGGUUAACAAAAAACUACAACAAACUUUUGGUCAAUUCAGGUUUUUCUUCUACUUUGUUCAUUUUUUAAUGUGUACAUUUAUUAUUAUUAUUAUUAUAUUUUUUUUUUGCGUUUGGUUUUGAUAUUACAUACAGACAGGAAAUCCAAGUUUGCUCACUUACAUGAGUGGUCAAAAGUAGUGCACUACAUAGGGAAUAGGAUGCCAUUUUGAACUAAAUUAGAGUAGAUUAAUACGUUGUGUGUGUGUGUGGCAGGGAACAUAGUCCCUGUGGUGCAGGGUAGGCAACCCUGUUCCUGAAGGGCUUCAGGUACAGCAGGAUCUGGUUCCAACUACGCGCCACAUCUGACCAACUGAGCUAAUUGAUCAGUUCAGUGAUUGCCUAAAUUCAUCACACCUGGUCUUCUAGGUUGUUUAAGUCCAAACAUGAGGUGCUUGUGGGAGGGUUGCCUUACCCUACUGUGGUGCUAUGAUAAAGGCCCUAUUCAGGAAGUGUCUCAUAAAUGGCUAAUACAGUCUUGUGACCGCUGACCUGGAUUCGAAUCCUAGUCGGUGUCACCUUUCACACAGCACCAGGACCUGUAGUCUUAAAGCAUCUCACAGUAGGAGUGCUGAUCUAGAAUCAGUGUAUGCUUUUACAUCAUAAUAAUUACAGUAUAUGGACAGGAUCGAUCUGCUCCUAGAUCAGCACUUAUAUUCUAAGACGCUUUGUGAAUAUGGGCCCAGAGUUAAAUUAAUAGAUUCUUGGAUGUGGUAUUUCUGUAAAAAAAAAAAAAAUCUGUAUUUGGGAAUAUUUUUGUACAAAUCUGAAUCGG
Molecule: long non-coding RNA, 2553 nt
Organism: Oncorhynchus tshawytscha (Chinook salmon)
Lineage: Eukaryota; Metazoa; Chordata; Actinopteri; Salmoniformes; Salmonidae
Source: Ensembl